This 497-nucleotide ribosomal RNA is filed under the name uncultured bacterium. RNAcentral's name for it is "partial 16S ribosomal RNA". It matches the Rfam family "Bacterial small subunit ribosomal RNA", at positions 28 to 507 of the family's 1533-position model. The record is from RNAcentral.
GAUGAACGCUGGCGGCGUGCCUAAUACAUGCAAGUCGAGCGAACGGACGAGAAGCUUGCUUCUCUGAUGUUAGCGGCGGACGGGUGAGUAACACGUGGAUAACCUACCUAUAAGACUGGGAUAACUUCGGGAAACCGUAGCUAAUACCGGAUAAUAUUUUGAACCGCGUGGUUCAAAAGUGAAAGACGGUCUUGCUGUCACUUAUAGAUGGAUCCGCGCUGCAUUAGCUAGUUGGUAAGGUAACGGCUUACCAAGGCAACGAUGCAUAGCCGACCUGAGAGGGUGAUCGGCCACACUGGAACUGAGACACGGUCCAGACUCCUACGGGAGGCAGCAGUAGGGAAUCUUCCGCAAUGGGCGAAAGCCUGACGGAGCAACGCCGCGUGAGUGAUGAAGGUCUUCGGAUCAUAAAACUCUGUUAUUAGGGAAGAACAUAUGUGUAAGUAACUGUGCACAUCUUGACGGUACCUAAUCAGAAAGCCACGGCUAACUACGUG